This is a long non-coding RNA of Drosophila willistoni, 340 nucleotides long. RefSeq lists it as uncharacterized. The record is from RefSeq and is a predicted model, not a curated record. The transcript has 3 exons. Lineage: Eukaryota; Metazoa; Arthropoda; Insecta; Diptera; Drosophilidae.
CCUACAGGAAUCACAAAGCAGAAUCUUUUCAAGCUACAAAAAAAAAAGAAACAAAAAAAAGAAAAACGAAGAGAGAAGAAAGUGUUGAAGACUUCGUUUGGGCCGCUGUUUCCCGUGUUGCUGCUGACUAAACAUUUAUCAUCAAAGUGACAGCGACGAGGAAGAGCACGAGUAGACAAACCAGAGGGCUAAAGGACAUUGACAGCCGCCAACGUGGAAAGGUGAACUAAAAAUUGCAGAAAAAUAGUUGCAGGAUGUGGAUGGAUAGAUGGAUAUAUAUAUGUAUGUGACAGGCAUUUGCAAUAAAACAGCAACGAGAGGGACGAAGAGGAAGACGGUG